GCGAUGCGCAUGGGCGAAGCCUGCGCAGCGACGCCGUGCCUGAUGACGGUUUUCGGAUUGUAAACUCCUGUUAAGUGGGAAGAAAAGCUUGACACUAAUACGGUCAAGUUAUGACGUUACCACUAGAGAAAGCACCGGCUAACUUCGUGCCAGCAGCCGCGGUAAUACGAGGGGUGCUAGCGUUAUUCGGAAUUACUGGGCGUAAAGGGUGCGUAGACGGCGCAUUAAGUCUGUUGUUAAAUCCUCCGGCCUAACUGGAGUUCAGCGAUAGAAACUAAUGUGCUAGAGGAUGGAAGAGAGAAGUGGAAUUCUCGGAGUAGCGGUAAAAUGCGUAGAUUCUCUUUAGGAACACCAAUGGCGAAGGCAGCUUCUUGGUCCAUUCCUGACGUUGAGGCACGAAAGCGUGGGGAGCAAACAGGAUUAGAUACCCUGGUAGUCCACGCCGUAAACGAUGAUCACUAGACGUUAGUUCUGUUUAACAGAAUUAGUGUCGUAGCUAACGCGUUAAGUGAUCCGCCUGGGGAGUACGGUCGCAAGACUAAAACUUAAAGGAAUUGACGGGGGCCCGCACAAGCGGUGGAACAUGUGGUUUAAUUCGACACUACGCGAGGAACCUUACCUAGGCUUGACAUGCUUCUGACACCCGUAGAAAUACGGUCUUCCGAGUUUACUCGGACAGUUGCACAGGUGCUGCAUGGCUGUCGUCAGCUCGUGUCGUGAGAUGUUGGGUUAAGUCCUUUAACGAGCGCAACCCUUUCUGUCAGUUGCUACUCACUUUGUGAGGCACUCUGACGGGACUGCCUGGGAAACCAGGAGGAAGGUGGGGAUGACGUCAAGUCAUCAUGGUCCUUACGCCUAGGGCUACACACGUUGUUACAAUUGC
RNAcentral lists this ribosomal RNA (883 nucleotides) under uncultured bacterium. RNAcentral's name for it is "bacterial SSU rRNA". It matches the Rfam family "Bacterial small subunit ribosomal RNA", at positions 359 to 1234 of the family's 1533-position model. The record is from RNAcentral.